RNAcentral lists this ribosomal RNA (485 nucleotides) under uncultured bacterium. RNAcentral's name for it is "partial 16S ribosomal RNA". It matches the Rfam family "Bacterial small subunit ribosomal RNA", at positions 28 to 523 of the family's 1533-position model. The record is from RNAcentral.
GGUGAACGCUAGCGGCAGGCCUAAUACAUGCAAGUCGAACGGUGUAGCAAUACACAGUGGCGCACGGGUGCGUAACACGUAUGCAACCUACCUUACAUUGGGGGAUAGCCUUUCGAAAGGGAGAUUAAUACCGCAUAAGACAGUAACUAGGCAUCUAGUAGCUGUUAAAGAUUUAUCGAUGUAAGCUGGGCAUGCGUCCAAUUAGUUAGUUGGCGAGGUAAUGUCUCACCAAGACGAUGAUUGGUAGGGGAACUGAGAGGUCAAUCCCCCACACUGGCACUGAGAUACGGGCCAGAAUCCUACGGGAGGAAGCAGUAGGGAAUAUUGGGGAAUGGGCGCAAGCCUGACCCAGCCAUGCCGCGUGCAGGAAGAAGGCGUUAUGCGUUGUAAACUGCUUUUAUACAGGAAGAAACGACCCUUGCGAGGGGCAUUGACGGUACUGUAUGAAUAAGCACCGGCUAACUCCGUGCCAGCCGCCGCCGUAA